RNAcentral lists this ribosomal RNA (473 nucleotides) under uncultured organism. RNAcentral's name for it is "partial 16S ribosomal RNA". It matches the Rfam family "Bacterial small subunit ribosomal RNA", at positions 333 to 797 of the family's 1533-position model. The record is from RNAcentral.
ACACUCCUGCGGGAGGCAGCAGUGGGGAAUUUUGGACAAUGGGCGAAAGCCUGAUCCAGCCAUGCCGCGUGAGUGAAGAAGGCCUUCGGGUUGUAAAGCUCUUUUGGCGGGGAAGAAACGGUGGAAGCUAAUAUCUUUUGCUAAUGACGGUACCUGCAGAAGAAGCACCGGCUAACUACGUGCCAGCAGCCGCGGUAAUACGUAGGGUGCAAGCGUUAAUCGGAAUUACUGGGCGUAAAGCGUGCGCAGGCGGUUUGUUAAGUCUGAUGUGAAAUCCCCGGGCUCAACCUGGGAAUUGCAUUGGAGACUGGUAGGCUAGAAUCUGGCAGAGGGUGGUAGAAUUCCAGGUGUAGCAGUGAAAUGCGUAGAGAUGUGGAGGAACACCGAUGGCGAAGGCAGCCACCUGGGUCAAGACUGACGCUCAGGCACGAAAGCGUGGGGAGCAAACAGGAUUAGAUACCCCUGUAGUCCCA